Pelobates cultripes (western spadefoot toad) is the source of this 726-nucleotide non-coding RNA. The record is from the annotation of a GenBank genome assembly. NCBI's taxonomy places the organism in Eukaryota, Metazoa, Chordata, Amphibia, Anura, Pelobatidae.
AAACAACUACAGGGAGUGCAGAAUUAUUAGGCAAAUGAGUAUUUUGACCACAUCAUCCUCUUUAUGCAUGCUGUCUUACUCCAAGCUGUAUAGGCUCGAAAGCCUACUACCAAUUAAGCAUAUUAGGUGAUGUGCAUCUCUGUAAUGAGAAGGGGUGUGGUCUAAUGACAUCAACACCCUAUAUCAGGUGUGCAUAAUUAUUAGGCAACUUCCUUUCCUUUGGCAAAAUGGGUCAAAAGAAGGACUUGACAGGCUCAGAAAAGUCAAAAUAGUGAGAUAUCUUGCAGAGGGAUGCAGCACUCUUAAAAUUGCAAAGCUUCUGAAGCGUGAUCAUCGAACAAUCAAGCGUUUCAUUCAAAAUAGUCAACAGGGUCGCAAGAAGCGUGUGGAAAAACCAAGGCGCAAAAUAACUGCCCAUGAACUGAGAAAAGUCAAGCGUGCAGCUGCCACGAUGCCACUUGCCACCAGUUUGGCCAUAUUUCAGAGCUGCAACAUCACUGGAGUGCCCAAAAGCACAAGGUGUGCAAUACUCAGAGACAUGGCCAAGGUAAGAAAGGCUGAAAGACGACCACCACUGAACAAGAUACACAAGCUGAAACGUCAAGACUGGGCCAAGAAAUAUCUCAAGACUGAUUUUUCUAAGGUUUUAUGGACUGAUGAAAUGAGAGUGAGUCUUGAUGGGCCAGAUGGAUGGGCCCGUGGCUGGAUUGGUAAAGGGCAGAGAGC